This 3250-nucleotide ribosomal RNA is filed under the name Streptomyces lonarensis. RNAcentral's name for it is "23S ribosomal RNA". It matches the Rfam family "Bacterial large subunit ribosomal RNA". Lineage: Bacteria; Bacillati; Actinomycetota; Actinomycetes; Kitasatosporales; Streptomycetaceae. The record is from RNAcentral.
ACAGUGGACGCGAGCAUCUGUGGCCAAGUUUUUAAGGGCGCACGGUGGAUGCCUUGGCACCAGGAACCGAUGAAGGACGUGGGAGGCCACGAUAGGCCCCGGGGAGCUGUCAACCGAGCUUUGAUCCGGGGGUGUCCGAAUGGGGAAACCCGGCAGUCGUCAUGGGCUGUCACCCGCACCUGAAUGUAUAGGGUGUGUGGAGGGAACGCGGGGAAGUGAAACAUCUCAGUACCCGCAGGAAGAGAAAACAACCGUGAUUCCGGGAGUAGUGGCGAGCGAAACCGGAUGAGGCUAAACCGUAUGUGUGUGAUACCCGGCAGGGGUUGCGCAUGCGGGGUCGUGGGAGUUUCCUUCAGUCGUCUGCCGGCGGCUGGGCGAGUGAGAAACCAUUGUGGUAGGCGAAGGGCAUGCGAAAGGCCCGGCGUAGAGGGUAAGACCCCCGUAGCUGAAACUGCAAUGGCUCGUUUGGGAGCCACCCAAGUAGCACAGGGCCCGAGAAAUCCUGUGUGAAUCUGGCGGGACCACCCGUUAAGCCUAAAUAUUCCCUGGUGACCGAUAGCGGAUAGUACCGUGAGGGAAUGGUGAAAAGUACCGCGGGAGCGGAGUGAAAUAGUACCUGAAACCGUGUGCCUACAAGCCGUGGGAGCGUCGCACAGUGGGCUUGCCUGCUGUGUCGUGACUGCGUGCCUUUUGAAGAAUGAGCCUGCGAGUUUGCGGUAUGUUGCGAGGUUAACCCGUGUGGGGGAGCCGUAGCGAAAGCGAGUCCGAAUAGGGCGUUCAGUAGCAUGCUCAAGACCCGAAGCGGAGUGAUCUAGCCAUGGGCAGGGUGAAGCGGCUGUAAGAGGUCGUGGAGGCCCGAACCCACCAGAGUUGAAAAUCUGGGGGAUGACCUGUGGUUAGGGGUGAAAGGCCAAUCAAACUCCGUGAUAGCUGGUUCUCCCCGAAAUGCAUUUAGGUGCAGCGUCGCGUGUUUCUUACCGGAGGUAGAGCACUGGAUAGGCGAUGGGCCUUACCGGGUUACUGACCUUAGCCAAACUCCGAAUGCCGGUAAGUGAGAGCGCGGCAGUGAGACUGUGGGGGAUAAGCUCCAUGGUCGAGAGGGAAACAGCCCAGAGCAUCGACUAAGGCCCCUAAGCGUGUGCUAAGUGGGAAAGGAUGUGGAGUCGCAGAGACAACCAGGAGGUUGGCUUAGAAGCAGCCACCCUUGAAAGAGUGCGUAAUAGCUCACUGGUCUAGUGAUUCUGCGCCGACAAUGUAGCGGGGCUCAAGUACACCGCCGAAGUCGUGUCAUUCGAACAUAUACUCCUAACGGGGGUUCGGAUGGGUAGGGGAGCGUCGUGUGCCGGGUGAAGCAGCCGUGGAAACGAGUUGUGGACGGUUCACGAGUGAGAAUGCAGGCAUGAGUAGCGAUACACACGUGAGAAACGUGUGCGCCGAUUGACUAAGGGUUCCUGGGUCAAGCUGAUCUGCCCAGGGUAAGUCGGGACCUAAGGCGAGGCCGACAGGCGUAGUCGAUGGACAACCGGUUGAUAUUCCGGUACCCGCUUUGAAGCGCCAACGCUGAAUCUGGUGAUGCUAAGCCCGUGAAGCCCCCUGCGGUCUGUCUUUGACAGCNNNNNNNNNNNNNNNNNNNNNNNNNNNNNNNNNNNNNNNNNNNNNNNNNNNNNNNNNNNNNNNNNNNNNNNNNNNNNNNNNNNNNNNNNNNNNNNNNNCCGUGGGUGUGGUGGAGCCGGUGAUCCGAGCUGGUAGUAGGUGAGUGAUGGGGUGACGCAGGAAGGUAGUCCAUCCCGGGCGGUGGUUGUCCCGGGGUAAGGGUGUAGGGCGAGGAGUAGGUAAAUCCGCUUCUCUUGUGCCUGAGACCUGAUGCCGAGCCGAUUGUGGUGAAGUGGAUGAUCCUAUGCUGUCGAGAAAAGCCUCUAGCGAGUUUCAUGGCGGCCCGUACCCUAAACCGACUCAGGUAGUCAGGUAGAGAAUACCGAGGCGUUCGGGUGAACUAUGGUUAAGGAACUCGGCAAAAUGCCCCCGUAACUUCGGGAGAAGGGGGGCCACGUCUGGUGAUGGGCUUUGCGCCUUGAGCUGGGGGUGGCCGCAGAGACCAGCGAGAAGCGACUGUUUACUAAAAACACAGGUCCGUGCGAAGCCGUAAGGCGAUGUAUACGGACUGACGCCUGCCCGGUGCUGGAACGUUAAGGGGACCGGUUAGUCAGGAUUCGUUCUGGCGAAGCUGAGAACUUAAGCGCCAGUAAACGGCGGUGGUAACUAUAACCAUCCUAAGGUAGCGAAAUUCCUUGUCGGGUAAGUUCCGACCUGCACGAAUGGCGUAACGACUUCUUGACUGUCUCAACCAUAGGCCCGGUGAAAUUGCAGUACGAGUAAAGAUGCUCGUUUCGCGCAGCAGGACGGAAAGACCCCGGGACCUUUACUAUAGCUUGAUAUUGGUGUUCGGUUCGGCUUGUGUAGGAUAGGUGGGAGACUGUGAAGCAUGCACGCCAGUGUGUGUGGAGUCGUUGUUGAAAUACCACUCUGGUCGUGCUGGAUGUCUAACCUGGGUCCGUGAUCCGGAUCAGGGACAGUGUCUGGUGGGUAGUUUAACUGGGGCGGUUGCCUCCUAAAGAGUAACGGAGGCGCCCAAAGGUUCCCUCAGCCUGGUUGGUAAUCAGGUGUUGAGUGUAAGUGCACAAGGGAGCUUGACUGUGAGACUGACGGGUCGAGCAGGGACGAAAGUCGGGACUAGUGAUCCGGCGGUGGCUUGUGGAAGCGCCGUCGCUCAACGGAUAAAAGGUACCCCGGGGAUAACAGGCUGAUCUUCCCCAAGAGUCCGUAUCGACGGGAUGGUUUGGCACCUCGAUGUCGGCUCGUCGCAUCCUGGGGCUGGAGUCGGUCCCAAGGGUUGGGCUGUUCGCCCAUUAAAGCGGCACGCGAGCUGGGUUUAGAACGUCGUGAGACAGUUCGGUCCCUAUCCGCUGCGCGCGUAGGAGUCUUGAGAAGGGCUGUCCCUAGUACGAGAGGACCGGGACGGACGAACCUCUGGUGUGCCAGUUGUCCUGCCAAGGGCAUGGCUGGUUGGCUACGUUCGGGAAGGAUAACCGCUGAAAGCAUCUAAGCGGGAAGCCUGCUUCGAGAUGAGGGCUCCCACCCACGUGAUGGGGUAAGGCUCCCUGUAGACGACAGGGUUGAUAGGCCAGAUAUGGAAGCCCAGUAAUGGGUGGAGUUGACUGGUACUAAUAGGCCGAGGGCUUGUCCAUAGUUG